AGGCCGUACCGAUAUCCGCAGCAGGUCUCCGAGGUGAGCAGCCUCUAGCCGAUAGAAUAAUGUAGGUAAGGGAAGUCGGCAAAACCGAUCCGUAACUUCGGGAUAAGGAGGCCUCGUCGGCGGGCAACCGUUGGCGAGGGGCACAAACUAGGGGGUGGCGACUGUUUAACAAAAACACAGGGCUCUGCUAAGCCGCAAGGCGACGUAUAGGGUCUGACGCCUGCCCGGUGCCGGAAGGUUAAGAGGAGCGCUUAGCGUAAGCGAA
Molecule: ribosomal RNA, 265 nt
Filed under: Bacillus tequilensis
Lineage: Bacteria; Bacillati; Bacillota; Bacilli; Caryophanales; Bacillaceae
Description: partial 23S ribosomal RNA
Rfam family: Bacterial large subunit ribosomal RNA
Source: RNAcentral